AGCAACGCAUGCUUCUCUCUCUUUCUCAGGUUCCGUACGGCAUCCACGGUAAAAAAAAAAUAGACCAGCCUCUUCUCUGUUAAGGUACAGGUCUUUGAAAGGCCUUAAACAAGAGUUUAAAUCUAAUUAGAUUAGGUUUAGGUCUUCUAAACAAGCCAAAUCAAGCCCUUAAACCAUCGGAUCAAGAUCGAAAACAAUCUGAACCAUCCGAUCACGAUCGAUCUACG
RNAcentral lists this long non-coding RNA (227 nucleotides) under Elaeis guineensis (African oil palm). RNAcentral's name for it is "long non-coding RNA (EGUI_LNC026209)". Lineage: Eukaryota; Viridiplantae; Streptophyta; Magnoliopsida; Arecales; Arecaceae. The record is from RNAcentral.